UACAGAGGGGGCAAGCAUUGUUCGGAAUUACUGGGCGUAAAGGGCUUGUAGGCGGCCAACUAAGUCCGACGUGAAAUCCCCAGGCUUAACCUGGGAACUGCGUCGGAUACUGGAUGGCUUGAAUUCGGGAGAGGGAUGCAGAAUUCCAGGUGUAGCGGUGAAAUGCGUAGAUAUCUGGAGGAAUACCGGUGGCGAAGGCGGCAUCCUGGACCGACAUUGACGCUGAGGAGCGAAAGCUAGGGGAGCAAACGGGAUUAGAUACCCCGGUAGUCCUAGCCCUAAACGAUGAAUGCUUGGUGUGGCGGGUAUCGAUCCCUGCCGUGCCGCAGCUAACGCAUUAAGUGCCCCGCCUGGGGAGUACGGUCGCAAGAUUAAA
RNAcentral lists this ribosomal RNA (376 nucleotides) under uncultured bacterium. Its description in RNAcentral is "bacterial SSU rRNA". It matches the Rfam family "Bacterial small subunit ribosomal RNA", at positions 524 to 898 of the family's 1533-position model. The record is from RNAcentral.